CGGGUGAGUAACACGUGGGCAAUCUGCCCUUCACUCUGCGGACAAGCCCUGGAAACGGGGUCUAAUACCGGAUAACACUCUUCCCUGCAUGGGGGAGGGUUGAAAGCUCCGGCGGUGGAGGAUGAGCCCGCGGCCUAUCAGCUUGUUGGUGGGGUGAUGGCCUACCAAGGCGACGACGGGUAGCCGGCCUGAGAGGGCGACCGGCCACACUGGGACUGAGACACGGCCCAGACUCCUACGGGAGGCAGCAGUGGGGAAUAUUGCACAAUGGGCGGAAGCCUGAUGCAGCGACGCCGCGUGAGGGAUGACGGCCUUCGGGUUGUAAACCUCUUUCAGCAGGGAAGAAGCGUGAGUGACGGUACCUGCAGAAGAAGCGCCGGCUAACUACGUGCCAGCAGCCGCGGUAAUACGUAGGGCGCAAGCGUUGUCCGGAAUUAUUGGGCGUAAAGAGCUCGUAGGCGGCUUGUCGCGUCGGAUGUGAAAGCCCGGGGCUCAACCCCGGGUCUGCAUUCGAUACGGGCAGGCUGGAGUGUGGUAGGGGAGAUCGGAAUUCCU
Molecule: ribosomal RNA, 555 nt
Filed under: Streptomyces sp. 431B09
Lineage: Bacteria; Bacillati; Actinomycetota; Actinomycetes; Kitasatosporales; Streptomycetaceae
Description: bacterial SSU rRNA
Rfam family: Bacterial small subunit ribosomal RNA
Source: RNAcentral